ACUUAGAAAAAUAGAUCCACUCGCUUCAGACAACCUCAGGAUCUCCAAACUGAAGACACAAGUGACAUGACCGAAACAGGGUCCCCUCAAUAAGAUUUCCCAGAUACUGAGGACCUCAGUCUCCUCACCACCACGAUUCCUGCACACCGAUGCAUUCCUUUAAAAGGAAAGCAGCUGGAACAUUAAUGGCAAUUCCACUUUCCCAUUCAUCGCCCCCGCCCCCACCACCCCACCAAGAAACUCAGUGGGAAUGAAUGGUCUACACAGAGAAACUGAAAUCUGGUUAGUCAAGAAGGAAAAAACAACCAAGUGCCUGGCAUUAAGAGGAUUUUUUUUUUAAGCUCAGCCUAUGGACAACAAAAGCAUGGACUGUAUUUCUCAGCAUCUUUUGCACUUGAACAAGAUUAUUUUUUCCUUGAAAAUUGACAUGGAUGGUCUGCCACUGUGGGCUUUAUCUUCAACAUCGUCUCACCCUUCUUAUUAAUAACACAAGUUAUCCACUUGUAAACUGCUGUUUUUUUGGGGCUAUCCACUUGUAAACUGCUGUUUUUUUGGGGGCACUGUCACCAUAAACUUUUGAUAAGGCAUCAGUGAUUUCAACAUUCUUCACCCAAGCUUCACCAUAAAUUUGAUGUUUCUUUUUGCUUCAUUUUAGCAGAAUUUGUUCCAAUAGGGGCUCUUUUCGAACUGAUUUUUUUUUUCAUUUUUUUCCACUGGGAUUUUGAGAAAAUCAAACUGAUAGCCUUCUUAGUGCCUCAAACUAGAUCCUGUUCAGACACAAACAAGUUAGUAUGAGUUUGUUUCAGUGAAAAAAAAAUUUGAAAUUCAUGCAUAGUUUUUCAUAAUGUGAAUUUUUCAUGAACUUUUGGAAGACCUUUUGAAUACUUUUUUAAUUGCAGCACUCUUUUGCACCAUAAAACUAAUUGGUGGCUUUACCAUUAAGAAGUUGAGCCAAGCAAACAAUAAUGAAAAUGCUUUAUGUGGAAUAAAAAUUUACACUUAAAUGCCUUUUUUGCUUCCUUUUUCUCCGUUUAUAUUUAAUCUAUUUAAUCUAUAUUUAAUUUAAUAUAUUUAAUCUGUAAUAAGCCCACAGGAGCACUUCUUUGUACUUUUUACAUCAAUGAAGUACAUAUAUGUUUUCUUUGC
This 1146-nucleotide long non-coding RNA is filed under the name Homo sapiens (human). RNAcentral describes it as "HSALNT0298073". The record is from RNAcentral. Lineage: Eukaryota; Metazoa; Chordata; Mammalia; Primates; Hominidae.